RNAcentral lists this long non-coding RNA (493 nucleotides) under Bos taurus (domestic cattle). RNAcentral's name for it is "long non-coding RNA NONBTAT017174". The record is from RNAcentral. Lineage: Eukaryota; Metazoa; Chordata; Mammalia; Artiodactyla; Bovidae.
GAAUAUAGAGAUUCUUUAUAGAGUAGUAUAAGAAUAGAGAUUGAUGAACCUGAGGUCAUUUCAAAAGAAAUCUUUUAAAAUUACUCCCUGUGUCAAAUUUUCAAAGUAGCUAGAGUCCAGGUUCUAAAAAGUUUAAAUCUCUAUGGAUUUGCUAUGAGGGCUUAAGUCUAAAUGUGUCAACAGAUUCCAGAAUAGUUGACUGGAAAACUGUUUAUUUGAUCCUAACAAAUUACACUUUUGAUCUUUCAAAUAAUCACACUACAAUUUCUAAUUUAUGGUAAAAUCUACUGCAAGAUAUGGAAAGUGAAGGCCAUGGUUUACUUUCUAGAGCUCAUGAGCACAUUCAGUACAAAUAGCAGUUUAGAUUGAAAUAGGAACCUUGCUAAGGGAACUAUAUAAUUGUCCCAGGGAACUACACUUUUUGCCUAGACCUCCAUCCACUGUUCCUCACCUAACUUCUUAAGACCUACACAUCCUCCUCUAGGUAUCUAAA